UAGUCAUUCAGCUAAUAAAAUAUUAAAUUAUAUUAAUUAAACAUGUUUUCUCAUAUCCCUAUAGUCAUUCAGCUAAUAAAAAUGGCAGGUUAAAUUGUUGGGUAGGCUAUAUAUUUUAGGUUAGUUUCCGACACUGUAACUGUAACUUUAACCCAAUUCAACCCUUUAAAAUGAUGUAAUAAUACGCGUAUGUGGGCAUUAUUUUACACACCCCAGCCUAUAUGCAUAGGAUAUUAAUAUAUAAUCAAAAUAUAAAGAUAGAUCUGCGCUUCAUCCAGACGCACGCACUUCAUAACGGUUCUGCUUCCUCCAUUCUCAGGCUGCUAGACACAUCUAUUCUCUCACAGUUUUGUCACAUUAGACUGUUCGUAAAUAAAGCCAUGAUGUAUGUAAUCCUCCAAGUCAUGGAUAUGGGUUUGUAAUCAUAGAUGUAUUUUUAAAUUAGAGCAGAAGAGGCAUAAAUAGAAACCGAAAGUAACUACAGUGGAUUAACGGGGUUUGUUUAUACUGGGUUACAAGACUUUUAUGGGAAAGAAGAAAUCGUCAGUCAAAAUGUGGGUAUUGUGCCCAGCAGGCCUGAAUAACUCCUUUUGAGACCCGCGUCAAAGGCCAGAAAGAGAAGAUGGAGGAGAUUGCACAUCGAUGGGCUGCUGGAGCCGUCAUUAUUGUCCCGUCUCAUCAUGAUCAGAUAUCUGUCAUCUCACCACAAGAUGAACACAAGGCCCUUCUGUUCCAUUUAGCAGAGCUCUUUAUGACAGGCCUCAACAAAGGCAGCGACGUGUGCAAAAACACACAGCUCUGGUGCUUCUUGUGUCUGUGUGUGUGUGUGUUCAUGCUCCAGUGACACACACUGAGUCGGCGGCACAAAACCUGCGGCCCCUGGAAACCCUGCAGAGGAGGAGAUCAUGACCCCUGACAGCUGCCCCGCUACAGCCUCCAUCAUCAUCAUCAGGGUUUAUGUAGGAUUGCAUGGGAAACUGGGACUAUACUAUAUUUGUAAGGUCUUAUUUUAUAGUUCUGGCUUAUUCUCUGCAGUUUUUAGUUUGUAUCUCACAAUGAACUGUGAAGACUGUUAUGAUGCAUUUAAUUGUUAAAUUGGUAUUUUUAUUAAAAGGAAAAAACACAGGAGACUUCUGUGUAUUUCUUGCUUGAAUGACCG
This 1159-nucleotide long non-coding RNA is filed under the name Danio rerio (zebrafish). Its description in RNAcentral is "si:cabz01070251.1 (ENSDARG00000105687.2)". The record is from RNAcentral. Lineage: Eukaryota; Metazoa; Chordata; Actinopteri; Cypriniformes; Danionidae.